UCCUCUCUAAGCACAUAGCUUCUUCUUCUCUCUGUUUUCUUCAACUCACACUUCCUUCUCCAACAAUUCCUGCUUACACUGUUGGGGCAGAGAUUGAGCAACUUCAGUGGUCGUCUUCUCAGCCGGAAUGGCAUUGGGUUUCCAUUACUUUCUCCAUGAAGCUUCAGAUUCUGAGGAUCAUGGAAGGUGGAAGAUGGAAAGUAUAGUUGGGUGAGUGUUGGCACAAUGAUCUUCCAUUCUCUGGUCAGUUUGAGGAUAUUGUCUCUCAUGCUUUGAUACUUAUUAGAACCUUGUCCAUUUACUAUGCAAUCAUUUGUAAAAAAAAAAUAUGCAAUAUCCAUUAUUACAUAAUUGAACUGAGGCAGAUUAUGCUUUAAUCCCUUCGCAUGCAAAAUAUUACAAAUUUUAAAUAAAGGAGAUUUAUCACCCACUUUACCUACUCCAACCACUUUUUCUUUCUAGUUUCUACCAAAGGUCAUGUAUCAACCUUCUUUAGGUUACAAGCACAUGAACAUAGACUUUCUUCAUGUAUGUGUCAUGACCAUCUAUUGUCCAAAUAUCAUAUCUGGUGUGUCUUUUGUUUUGUUAGUGUGAGAGGUGUGUGAAGACUUUAUCUUAAGAAGGCACUUAGACAUGACAUGUCUAGUUUUUUCCAUAAAUGAUUACAGACAUGUCUAAUAAAAGUAGUUUGUCAACUGUCAUAGUUGGCUUCUUAUGAUGGUAUAGUCAAUCCCUUUAUUGUUUAAAGAAUGCCUUUGGCAUCCUAAAAUCUUAGUCAAAUUUUUAUGUGCAGUUCACUAUGUGGAAGUAGUUGGUGUACCAUCCAAUAGUGUAUUGCGCCAGUGCAUAUAGCACAACAAAUUGUGCCAACAUGCAACCCAAUCCAUGAGGAAGAGUAAGCACAAGUACUAGACUAUACUUGUCAGAUAUAGUUUUCAUGUA
Lupinus albus (white lupine) is the source of this 942-nucleotide non-coding RNA. Lineage: Eukaryota; Viridiplantae; Streptophyta; Magnoliopsida; Fabales; Fabaceae. The record is from the annotation of a GenBank genome assembly.